UUUCACUAAUGAUCUCCUGUUUGUGCUGCUGUCUGGGUCAUAGAAGCCCUGUGAUGGAACCUCUGAGCUAGGGAG
This is a small nucleolar RNA of Manis javanica (Malayan pangolin), 75 nucleotides long. RefSeq annotates it as small nucleolar RNA SNORD66. NCBI's taxonomy places the organism in Eukaryota, Metazoa, Chordata, Mammalia, Pholidota, Manidae. The record is from RefSeq and is a predicted model, not a curated record.